GGAUGGGGGCUAAAUGCAGUCGAGCGGUACAUUUCUAGCUUGCUAAAAAUGAACAACCGCCGAACGGGUCAAUUAAUGCUUGGAAACAUUCCUUUAGGGGGGGGACAACAUUUGGAAACAACGGCUAAUACCGCAAAAUGUCUACGGACCAAAGGGGGCUUCGGCUCUCCCCUUUAGAUGGGCCCAAGUGGGAUUACCUAGUUGGUGAGGUAACGGCUCACCAAGGCAACAAUCCCUAGCUGGUUUGAAAGGAUAGAUCAGCCACACUGGAACUGAAACACGGUCCACACUCCUACGGGAGGCAGCAGUGGGAAAUAUUGCACAAUGGGCACAAGCCAGAUGCACCCAUGCCGCGUGUGUGAAAAAGGCCUUCGGUUUGUAAAGCACUUUCAAUAAAGAAGAAAGGUUGGUGGUUAAUACCCAUCAGCUGUGACGUUACUUACAGAAGAAGCACCGACUAACUCCGUGCCAGCAGCCGCAAUAAUACGGAUGGUGCGAGC
RNAcentral lists this ribosomal RNA (500 nucleotides) under bacterium DASA 57004. RNAcentral's name for it is "bacterial SSU rRNA". It matches the Rfam family "Bacterial small subunit ribosomal RNA", at positions 38 to 539 of the family's 1533-position model. The record is from RNAcentral.